UCUUUAUAAUGAGUUUAGUUCCUCCACCGAAUGUGUACCACAGUGAUACAUUCCAAUGAAGCCGUCGUACAAAAACCUCUGUUACACUCCAGUGAUGAACCACACUCACACACACACACACACACACACUCAGUCCUCUGGAUAUGUAUCAGAUGUAUCCAGUCAGAAUCUGGGUGUAUAAAAUGGUGUGAGUGUAAUAUUGGUCUGUAAUAUUUAGAGUGUUUUCUUUGUUGUGUUUUAGGUUCAGGAGGGGUUCUAGAUAUUUCCAUAGAGAGGUUCCACUUUGCAUUAUCAGCCCAUGCUUCAGUGCUCUGCUAGUGUUUAUAGUCCUGUGAGUUUAACACUUCAUGACUGAGAGCUGCUGCCCAGCAACUUCACCCACAGCAACCAUGACUUUCUUCUCCAUCUUCAUCUGGACUCUCACUCUCUGGAUUCAGGAAUCCAGUGGUCAGGUGACUGUGGAUCAGACUCCUACAGUGAAAUCAGUUUCUCCAGGAGAAUCACUUUCUAUCAGCUGUAGAUUCAGUUCUGCACCAUACGGUUCUACUCCUGAAGUCUCCUGGUAUCAUCAGAAACCUGUAGGACCUCCUAAACUCCUGAUCUACUCUACUAACAGCAGACAGUCAGGAAUUUCAGCUCGUUUCAGUGGUAGUGGAUCUGGAUCUUCCUUCAUUCUGACCAUCAGUAACAUCCAGCCUGAAGAUGCAGCAGAUUAUUACUGUCAGAGUGGCCAUGUGAUCAGUAGUAGAGCCGUGUUCACACAGUGUUACAGAGCUGUACAAAAACCCCCUCACUCACACACUGCACUGCUGCACCUACUGCAGGAGCUACACAAUACGGAACUAAGACAUGGCGCGGACAAGGACACGCUGGACACGCUGAACAUGCAACUCUGCCUGCCCGCAGGCUACAGUCAGUACCCUUUCACCAAUGGCGGACGAGCUACCUACCUCUGA
Non-coding RNA from Astyanax mexicanus (Mexican tetra), 956 nucleotides. Lineage: Eukaryota; Metazoa; Chordata; Actinopteri; Characiformes; Acestrorhamphidae. The record is from the annotation of a RefSeq genome assembly.